CGUCCCGUAGUUCAACGGUAGAGCAUCCGGCUCAUAACCGGAAAGUUCUGGGUUCGAGUCCCAGCGGGACCACCA
This 75-nucleotide transfer RNA is filed under the name Chlamydiota bacterium. Its description in RNAcentral is "Chlamydiae bacterium tRNA-Met". It matches the Rfam family "tRNA". Rfam says of the family: Transfer RNA (tRNA) molecules are approximately 80 nucleotides in length. Their secondary structure includes four short double-helical elements and three loops (D, anti-codon, and T loops). Lineage: Bacteria; Pseudomonadati; Chlamydiota. The record is from RNAcentral.